GCCCGACUAGCUCAGUCGGUAGUCGGUAGAGCAUGAGACUCUUAAUUUCAGGGUCGUGGGUUCAAGCCCCGCGUUGGGCA
Molecule: non-coding RNA, 80 nt
Organism: Caranx melampygus (bluefin trevally)
Lineage: Eukaryota; Metazoa; Chordata; Actinopteri; Carangiformes; Carangidae
Source: the annotation of a GenBank genome assembly